RNAcentral lists this unclassified non-coding RNA (251 nucleotides) under plant metagenome. RNAcentral's name for it is "partial contains small subunit ribosomal RNA, internal transcribed spacer 1, and 5.8S ribosomal RNA". The stretch from base 1 to 54 matches the Rfam family "Eukaryotic small subunit ribosomal RNA", at positions 1778 to 1831 of the family's 1831-position model. The record is from RNAcentral.
GGAGGUAAAAGUCGUAACAAGGUCUCCGUAGGUGAACCUGCGGAGGGAUCAUUACAGAGUUCUCGCCCUCGCGGGUAGAUCUCCCACCCACUGUUAUCGUUACUGUGUUGCUUUGGCGGGCCGCCGGGCCCCGCUCGGCCGCCGGCUCCGGCUGGCGCGCACCCGCCAGAGGCCCAGCAAACUCUGAAUGUUAGUGUCGUCUGAGUACUAUAUAAUAGUUAAAACUUUCAACAACGGAUCUCUUGGUUCUG